RNAcentral lists this ribosomal RNA (502 nucleotides) under uncultured bacterium. RNAcentral describes it as "bacterial SSU rRNA". It matches the Rfam family "Bacterial small subunit ribosomal RNA", at positions 28 to 521 of the family's 1533-position model. The record is from RNAcentral.
GACGAACGCUGGCGGCGUGGAUUAGGCAUGCAAGUCGAACGGUAUCAUCCUUUCGGGGGUGAGAGAGUGGCGAACUGGUGAGUAACACGUAGGUUAUCUACCCUCAAGACGGGGACAACCCAGGGAAACUUGGGCUAAUACCGGAUGUGAGCAACUUUUAGUUGUUUGAAAGGUGGCGUAAGCUGUCGCUUGGGGAUGAGCCUGCGUCCUAUUAGUUAGUUGGUGAGGUAACGGCUCACCUAGGCAAUGAUAGGUAGGCGGCCUUAACGGGUGGUCGCCCACACUGGGAUUGAGAUACGGCCCAGACUCCUACGGGAGGCAGCAGUCGAGAAUAGUCUACAAUGGUCGGAAGACUGAUAGUGCGACGCCGCGUGAACGAUGAAUCCCUUCGGGGUGUAAAGUUCUUUUAUAUGUGAGCAGUGCUUCUUAUAUUAACAGUAUGGGGAGAGAGAUAUUAGCAUAUGAAUAAGCAACGGCUAACUCCGUGCCCAGCAGCCACGGU